RNAcentral lists this ribosomal RNA (276 nucleotides) under uncultured prokaryote. RNAcentral's name for it is "partial 16S ribosomal RNA". It matches the Rfam family "Bacterial small subunit ribosomal RNA", at positions 524 to 798 of the family's 1533-position model. The record is from RNAcentral.
UACGGAGGAUCCGAGCGUUAUCCGGAUUUAUUGGGUUUAAAGGGUGCGCAGGCGGGAGAUUAAGUCGGCGGUGAAAUUUUGCAGCUUAACUGUAAAAGUGCCUUCGAAACUGGUUUCCUUGAGUGUAGAUGAAGUAGGCGGAAUUUGUGGUGUAGCGGUGAAAUGCAUAGAUAUCACGAGGAACUCCGAUUGCGCAGGCAGCUUACUAAACUACUACUGACGCUCAGGCACGAAGGCGUGGGGAUCAAACAGGAUUAGAUACCCCGGGUAGUCCCU